Molecule: ribosomal RNA, 203 nt
Filed under: uncultured Gammaproteobacteria bacterium
Lineage: Bacteria; Pseudomonadati; Pseudomonadota; Gammaproteobacteria
Description: partial 16S ribosomal RNA
Rfam family: Bacterial small subunit ribosomal RNA
Source: RNAcentral
CGGUCCAGACUCCUACGGGAGGCAGCAGUGGGGAAUAUUGCACAAUGGGGGAAACCCUGAUGCAGCCAUGCCGCGUGUGUGAAGAAGGCCUUAGGGUUGUAAAGCACUUUCAGUUGUGAGGAAAGGUUUACGGUUAAUACCCGUAAGCUGUGACGUUAGCAACAGAAGAAGCACCGGCUAACUCCGUGCCAGCAGCCGCGGUA